This 402-nucleotide ribosomal RNA is filed under the name Triticum aestivum (bread wheat). RNAcentral's name for it is "partial small subunit ribosomal RNA". Lineage: Eukaryota; Viridiplantae; Streptophyta; Magnoliopsida; Poales; Poaceae. The record is from RNAcentral.
AUGAUGGCUGGCGCGGCCCGCGGCGUGGAGGAAUUAGGCGACGAUGGGGACGUGGCCCUCGGCUACCCGCUGAUCGACGACGUGGAGCGUGGGCAGAGGAAACCGGCGGCCGUCGUCGGUUACCCGCUGCCGCCGGAGGGAACGGAUCCACGGCCGUCGUCGGCGGCAAGGCCACCACCCCGUGACAAGUGCGCCUCCUGCAACAUGUUCACCAAGGGUUUUCUGGUUACCCUGGGGACCGUGUUGAUCACCGAUUUUGUCCUGGGCGGCUUGAUUCUCAAGAGAGCACCGCAUCCCCUCUUGGUGUUGCUAUGUUCGCCCUUUUAUCCUAUUGUCUGUGCUGGGUUUAUCCUGCUGAUUGCCAACUGUGAAACGUCAGAAUCAGACAUUCAGGACGGCUAG